AUGCCCAGCCAUAAACACAAGUAGUAAAAUUACCCAAACUACUCGCCCGGGAACUACGAGCAUAAGCUUAAAACCCAAAGGACUUGGCGGUGCUUUAGACCCCCCUAGAGGAGCCUGUUCUAGAACCGAUAAUCCCCGUUCAACCUCACCCUCCCUUGUUUAUCCCGCCUAUAUACCGCCGUCGUCAGCUUACCCUGUGAAGGAUGAACAGUAAGCAAAAUUGGCACGCCCCAAAACGUCAGGUCGAGGUGUAGCGCAUGAGAGGGGAAGAAAUGGGCUACAUUUGCUGAAACAGCACACACGAACGAUGUAUUGAAACUUACACCUGAAGGAGGAUUUAGCAGUAAUAGAAGGAGAAUAGAGAGCUCCCCUGAAACUGGCCCUGAAGCGCGCACACACCG
RNAcentral lists this ribosomal RNA (401 nucleotides) under Eleotris amblyopsis (large-scaled spinycheek sleeper). RNAcentral's name for it is "partial 12S ribosomal RNA". It matches the Rfam family "Bacterial small subunit ribosomal RNA", at positions 792 to 1392 of the family's 1533-position model. The record is from RNAcentral. Lineage: Eukaryota; Metazoa; Chordata; Actinopteri; Gobiiformes; Eleotridae.